Molecule: ribosomal RNA, 137 nt
Filed under: uncultured bacterium
Lineage: Bacteria
Description: partial 16S ribosomal RNA
Rfam family: Bacterial small subunit ribosomal RNA
Source: RNAcentral
UGGGGAAUAUUGGACAAUGGGCGAAAGCCUGAUCCAGCAAUGCCGCGUGAGUGAUGAAGGCCUUAGGGUUGUAAAGCUCUUUUACCCGGGAUGAUAAUGACAGUACCGGGAGAAUAAGCUCCGGCUAACUCCGUGCC